This 380-nucleotide long non-coding RNA is filed under the name Ananas comosus (pineapple). Its description in RNAcentral is "long non-coding RNA (ACOM_LNC013730)". Lineage: Eukaryota; Viridiplantae; Streptophyta; Magnoliopsida; Poales; Bromeliaceae. The record is from RNAcentral.
AUUCUUAAUGAGUAAUACUUCAAUACACCAUGUAAAUUUUGAUCAUUUAUUUUUUUAAAUAGAUGGUUGAUAUGUAAUAUGAUUCUAAAGACGAGACCUACUAUUCAGGCAUAGUUACCGUUCACCAGGUACGUAUUUAAAGGAUAUUUUGAUCUUAGAAAAAUAUUUUGGUCUACAAAACCGGUUUUAUCCAACUAAGAAUUAAUAUUAUAACCUUCUCAAAUACCUACAACAAUAGUUGGAAUUCAAAUUACAACUAAGCUGUAAAUUUAAAUGCAAAACAACGUAAAAAACUUAAUUAUAAAUCAAAUUCAUCUUUUAAAUAUAAAACACAAAUUUAAAAUAAACUUUCAGAUCAAAUUCAAAAUUUUAAUUUAAAU